This 293-nucleotide ribosomal RNA is filed under the name uncultured bacterium. Its description in RNAcentral is "partial 16S ribosomal RNA". It matches the Rfam family "Archaeal small subunit ribosomal RNA", at positions 455 to 747 of the family's 1478-position model. The record is from RNAcentral.
GUGCCAGCAGCCGCGGUAAUACCGGCAGCUCAAGUGAUGUCCCAUAUUAUUGGGCCUAAAGCGUCCGUAGCUGGCCGGCCAAGUCUCACGGGAAAUCCACCCGCCCAACGGGUGGGCGUCCGGUAGAAACUGGCCGGCUUGGGACCGGAAGGCUCAGAGGGUACGUCCGGGGUAGGAGUGAAAUCCCGUAAUCCCGGACGGACCACCGAUGGCGAAAGCACUCUGAGAAGACGGCUCCGACAGUGAGGGACGAAAGCUAGGGUCUCAAACCGGAUUAGAAACCCCAGUAGUCC